This is a long non-coding RNA of Otolemur garnettii (small-eared galago), 281 nucleotides long. RefSeq lists it as uncharacterized. NCBI's taxonomy places the organism in Eukaryota, Metazoa, Chordata, Mammalia, Primates, Galagidae. The record is from RefSeq and is a predicted model, not a curated record. The transcript is spliced from 2 exons.
CCCAAAGCAGUCAAAAUUUAAGUCUUUGCCUUUAAACCAAUUCUUUUCUAUGUGUGUUAUAUUACAGGGACACCUACCUUACAGCCCCAGCAGCUGGGCUCUGAGUGAACCGCAGCCUCACAGAAUGCAGCCAUUUUGGACCAUGAGGUGAACUUACCCGUGCAAGCCCUGCUCUGUGGAGCAACCCGAUGGAAGGACCUACCACCAGGGGCUUCUGUCCAGCCUAGAAUGCCUACCCAGCUUUCAUAGGAAAGCAAAAUAAACUACCUGAGCCAGUAUUA